This 482-nucleotide ribosomal RNA is filed under the name uncultured bacterium. RNAcentral's name for it is "partial 16S ribosomal RNA". It matches the Rfam family "Bacterial small subunit ribosomal RNA", at positions 30 to 507 of the family's 1533-position model. The record is from RNAcentral.
AUUGAACGCUGGCGGCAUGCUUUACACAUGCAAGUCGAACGGUAACAGGCCGCAAGGUGCUGACGAGUGGCGAACGGGUGAGUAAUGCAUCGGAACGUGCCCAGUCGUGGGGGAUAACUACUCGAAAGAGUAGCUAAUACCGCAUACGAUCUAUGGAUGAAAGCGGGGGACCGUAAGGCCUCGCGCGAUUGGAGCGGCCGAUGUCAGAUUAGGUAGUUGGUGGGGUAAAGGCUCACCAAGCCAACGAUCUGUAGCUGGUCUGAGAGGACGACCAGCCACACUGGGAAUGAGACACGGCCCAGACUCCUACGGGAGGCAGCAGUGGGGAAUUUUGGACAAUGGGCGCAAGCCUGAUCCAGCAAUGCCGCGUGCAGGAAGAAGGCCUUCGGGUUGUAAACUGCUUUUGUACGGAACGAAACGGCUCUGGUUAAUACCCAGGGCUAAUGACGGUACCGUAAGAAUAAGCACCGGCUAACUACGUG